CAGUCGCCGCGGUAAUACGUAGGGUGCGAGCGUUAAUCGGAAUUACUGGGCGUAAGGCGUGCGCAGGCGGUUGUGUAAGACAGGUGUGAAAUCCCCGGGCUUAACCUGGGAACUGCGCUUGUGACUGCACAGCUAGAGUAUGGCAGAGGGGGGUGGAAUUCCACGUGUAGCAGUGAAAUGCGUAGAGAUGUGGAGGAACACCGAUGGCGAAGGCAGCCCCCUGGGCCAAUACUGACGCUCAUGCACGAAAGCGUGGGGAGCAAACAGGAUUAGAUACCCCCGUAGUCCCUGUCUCUUAUAC
This 301-nucleotide ribosomal RNA is filed under the name uncultured bacterium. RNAcentral describes it as "partial 16S ribosomal RNA". It matches the Rfam family "Bacterial small subunit ribosomal RNA", at positions 509 to 807 of the family's 1533-position model. The record is from RNAcentral.